Molecule: ribosomal RNA, 301 nt
Filed under: uncultured bacterium
Lineage: Bacteria
Description: partial 16S ribosomal RNA
Rfam family: Bacterial small subunit ribosomal RNA
Source: RNAcentral
CAGUAGCCGCGGUAAUACGUAGGGUGCGAGCGUUAAUCGGAAUUACUGGGCGUAAAGCGUGCGCAGGCGGUUCGUUAAGAUAGAUGUGAAAUCCCCGGGCUUAACCUGGGAACUGCAUUUGUGACUGGCGAGCUAGAGUAUGGCAGAGGGGGGUAGAAUUCCACGUGUAGCAGUGAAAUGCGUAGAGAUGUGGAGGAAUACCGAUGGCGAAGGCAGCCCCCUGGGCCAAUACUGACGCUCAUGCACGAAAGCGUGGGGAGCAAACAGGAUUAGAUACCCCAGUAGUCCCUGUCUCUUAUAC